CCUACGGGGGGCAGCAGUGGGGAAUAUUGGGCAAUGGGCGCAAGCCUGACCCAGCAACGCCGCGUGAAGGAAGAAGGCUUUCGGGUUGUAAACUUCUUUUCUCAGGGACGAAGCAAGUGACGGUACCUGAGGAAUAAGCCACGGCUAACUACGUGCCAGCAGCCGCGGUAAUACGUAGGUGGCAAGCGUUAUCCGGAUUUACUGGGUGUAAAGGGCGUGUAGGCGGGAAAGCAAGUCAGAUGUGAAAACCAUGGGCUCAACCUGUGGCCUGCAUUUGAAACUGUUUUUCUUGAGUACUGGGGAGGCAGACGGAAUUCCUAGUGUAGCGGUGAAAUGCGUAGAUAUUAGGAGGAACACCAGUGGCGAAGGCGGUCUGCUGGACAGCAACUGACGCUGAGGCGCGAAAGCGUGGGGAGCAAACAGGAUUAGAUACCCGUGUAGUC
RNAcentral lists this ribosomal RNA (443 nucleotides) under uncultured bacterium. RNAcentral's name for it is "partial 16S ribosomal RNA". It matches the Rfam family "Bacterial small subunit ribosomal RNA", at positions 338 to 795 of the family's 1533-position model. The record is from RNAcentral.